GAACGAGCAUGAUGCAUACAGUUGAUGCGCAUGGCAGUUUUCCUCCCAGUUCCGCUGCAUCAACUGUUCCUCUCUGGAGGUUCAUACCUUCAAACUCAUGGGUCGCGGUUUUCCGACGGCCCUUUUCUUUUUUCUCU
RNAcentral lists this small RNA (137 nucleotides) under Sinorhizobium meliloti 2011. Its description in RNAcentral is "suhB". The stretch from base 20 to 128 matches the Rfam family "Alphaproteobacterial ar15". Lineage: Bacteria; Pseudomonadati; Pseudomonadota; Alphaproteobacteria; Hyphomicrobiales; Rhizobiaceae. The record is from RNAcentral.